RNAcentral lists this ribosomal RNA (592 nucleotides) under uncultured fungus. Its description in RNAcentral is "eukaryotic LSU rRNA". The stretch from base 223 to 376 matches the Rfam family "5.8S ribosomal RNA". The record is from RNAcentral. Lineage: Eukaryota; Fungi.
UCCGUAGGUGAACCUGCGGAAGGAUCAUUAACAAGCCGUGAAGAUCGCCCUGGAAAGGGAAUGAUCUCUCACCCGGCCACCCUUGCUUACUUUAACCUGUUGCUUUGGUGGGCCCGCCGCGAGGCCGCCGGGAACUUUUGAGUUUCCAGGCCCGUGCCCACCAAGGUCUUGACGAACUCUGCAAGAUCUUUGCUGUCUGAGCGUGAAAGCGCAAUCAUUUAAAACUUUCAACAACGGAUCUCUUGGUUCCGGCAUCGAUGAAGAACGCAGCGAAAUGCGAUAAGUAAUGUGAAUUGCAGAAUUCCGUGAAUCAUCGAAUCUUUGAACGCAUAUUGCGCCCUCUGGUAUUCCGGAGGGCAUGCCUGUCCGAGCGUCAUUGCUACCCUCAAGCGCAGCUUGUUUGUUGAGCCCGAUUGUCCCUUAAUGGACAGGCUCGAAAUGCAGUGGCGAUGCCGAGUUUGGUGCCCAAGUGUAUGGAGCUUUGUCACACGCUUUGGUGGCCCAGCCGGCAUUUGUCUUUAUAUCAUCUAAGAUUUGACCUCGGAUCAGGUAGGGAUACCCGCUGAACUUAAGCAUAUCAAUAAGCGGAGGA